RNAcentral lists this ribosomal RNA (406 nucleotides) under uncultured bacterium. RNAcentral describes it as "partial 16S ribosomal RNA". It matches the Rfam family "Bacterial small subunit ribosomal RNA", at positions 30 to 526 of the family's 1533-position model. The record is from RNAcentral.
AUUGAACGCUGGCGGCAGGCCUAACACAUGCAAGUCGAACGAGUGGCGGACGGGUGAGUAAUGUCUGGGAAACUGCCUGAUGGAGGGGGAUAACUACUGUAAACGGUCGCUAAUACCGCAUACCAUCAUAUGUUCCCAGAUGGGAUUAGCUUGUUGGUGGGGUAACGGCUCACCAAGGCGACGAUCCGUACCUGGUCUGAGAGGAUUAUCAGCCACACGGGGACGGAGAGACGGUCCAGACUCCGACGGGAGGCAGCAGUGGGGAAUAUUGCACAAUGGGCGCAAGCCGGAUGCAGCCAUGCCGCGUGUAUGAAGAAGGCCUUCGGGUGGUAAAGUACUUUAAGCGGGGAGGCGUUACCCGCAGAAGAAGCAACGGCUAACUCCGUGCCAGCAGCCGCGGUAAUAC